UACAGAGGGCGCAAGCGUUGUUCGGAAUUAUUGGGCGUAAAGCGCGUGUAGGCGGCUUUGCAAGUCGGGUGUGAAAGCCCUCGGCUCAACCGAGGAAGUGCGCCCGAAACUGCAGAGCUUGAGUACCGGAGAGGAUGGCGGAAUUCCCCAAGUAGAGGUGAAAUUCGUAGAUAUGGGGAGGAACACCGGUGGCGAAGGCGGCCAUCUGGACGGAUACUGACGCUGAGACGCGAAAGCGUGGGGAGCAAACAGG
This 253-nucleotide ribosomal RNA is filed under the name uncultured bacterium. RNAcentral's name for it is "partial 16S ribosomal RNA". It matches the Rfam family "Bacterial small subunit ribosomal RNA", at positions 524 to 776 of the family's 1533-position model. The record is from RNAcentral.